RNAcentral lists this ribosomal RNA (284 nucleotides) under uncultured prokaryote. RNAcentral's name for it is "partial 16S ribosomal RNA". The record is from RNAcentral.
CCCUACGGGGUGCCCGGUGGAAUGGGUGCAGCCACAGCCCUCCCUCUCGGAAUAGCCCAUCUCCUGGAAGACAGCGGAGCCAGCGGCAUGGACCUCCUCUCCUGAUAUGCCGCUUCGAAUGGCACCGAUCCCUGCCUCCUGGGCGGCAAGAACGGCAUGGUAGAGCUCUUUUACCUCCCCAGGGGCCUCUCCUCGAAGGACGGUGCGAGUCAUAUCUGCGUAGUAGCGGUGCGUCUUGGACCGGGGAUAGAUGUCGAUUACAAUGGGGGAAUUGGCGGGAGAGC